UGGUUGAUCCUGCCAGUAGUGAUAUGCUUGUUUCAAAGAUUAAGCCAUGCAUGUCUAAGUAUAAGCGAACUUAUACAGUGAAACUGCGGAUGGCUCAUUAAAACAGUUUGAAUUUAUUUGAUGAAUGUAUGAGAAUACUACUUGGAUAACCGUAGUAAUUCUAGAGCUAAUACAUGCAACGACGCCCGACCGUUUCACUACGGAAGGGCUGUAUUUAUUGGAUACCAAAACCAUCCUUCCCUCGGGAAGUUUUGUUUGAUGAUUCACAAUAACUGAUCGGAUCGCCACUGUGGUGGCGACAGGUCAUUCAACAUUCUGCCCUAUCAGCUUUCGAUGGUUGUGUAGUGGACAACCAUGGCCAUAACGGGUAACGGAGAAUCAGGGUUCGAUUCCGGAGAAGGAGCUUGAGAAUUGGCUACUACAUCUAAGGAAGGCAGCAGGCGCGCAAAUUACCCAAUCCCGAUUCGGGGAGGUAGUGACAAAAAAUAACAAUACCGGGCCUUUUUGGGCUUGGUAAUUGGAAUGAGGGAGAGUUAAACGGACCAUCGAGUAUCCGUUGGAGGGCAAGUCUGGUGCCAGCAGCUGCGGUAAUACCAGCUCCAAUAGCGUAUAUUAAAGUUGUUGCAGUUAAAAAGCUCGUAGUUGGACUUGUGUGCGCUGUCCGCGGGUGGCCUGCGCCCAAAAGGGCGUUUCGGUUCGGCCCCGGUGGCGCCUUGAAAUCUGCAGCUGGGGGGACGUUGGCCUUAACUGGUCGGCGACCGCACGCCGGCUGCUCGGUUACUGUGAGAAAAUUAGAGUGUUCAAGGCAGGCAUUGGGUGCAAUUGAAUACAUUAGCAUGGAAUAAUAAAAUAUGGCUCCUGCCGUAUUUUGUUGGUUUUGACUGGUGGGAGUAAUGAUUGAUAGGGACGGUUGGGGGUGCUAGUAUUGAGCGGCCAGAGGUGAAAUUCAUGGAUUCGCUCAAGACUAACUUAUGCGAAAGCAUUCACCAAGGACGUCCUCUUUAAUCAAGAACGAAGGUUGGGGGAUCGAAGACGAUCAGAUACCGUCGUAGUCUCAACCAUAAACUAUGUCGACUUGGGAUCGGCGGUAGUUUUUUCAUUAAGACACUGUCGGGACCACGGGAGAAAUCAAAGUGUCUGGACUCUGGGGGAAGUAUGGUCGCAAGGCUGAAACUUGAAGGAAUUGACGGAAGGGCACCACCAGGAGUGGAGCCUGCGGCUUAAUUUGACCCAACACGGGGAAACUUACCAGGUCCAGAGAUGUAGAGGAUUGACAGAUUGAAGCUCUUUCUUGAUCACUUCGGUGGUGGUGCAUGGCC
This 1319-nucleotide ribosomal RNA is filed under the name metagenome. Its description in RNAcentral is "SSU rRNA". It matches the Rfam family "Eukaryotic small subunit ribosomal RNA", at positions 5 to 1289 of the family's 1831-position model. The record is from RNAcentral.